GCUCCUCUAGCUCAGUGGCAGAGCGUGGGAUUGCAGCCCUACGCAAAUCAUCCUAAGGUCAGUCGUUCGAACCGGCUGGGGAGCU
Molecule: transfer RNA, 85 nt
Filed under: Friedmanniomyces endolithicus
Lineage: Eukaryota; Fungi; Ascomycota; Dothideomycetes; Mycosphaerellales; Teratosphaeriaceae
Also listed under: 1 other name
Description: tRNA-Cys
Rfam family: tRNA
About the family: Transfer RNA (tRNA) molecules are approximately 80 nucleotides in length. Their secondary structure includes four short double-helical elements and three loops (D, anti-codon, and T loops).
Source: RNAcentral